This 239-nucleotide ribosomal RNA is filed under the name uncultured bacterium. RNAcentral describes it as "partial 16S ribosomal RNA". It matches the Rfam family "Bacterial small subunit ribosomal RNA", at positions 524 to 761 of the family's 1533-position model. The record is from RNAcentral.
UACGUAGGGGGCAAGCGUUGUCCGGAUUUACUGGGCGUAAAGAGCGUGUAGGCGGCCAGGUAGGUCCGUUGUGAAAACUGGAGGCUUAACCUCCAGCUGUCGAUGGAAACCAUCUGGCUAGAGUCCGGAAGAGGAGAGUGGAAUUCCUGGUGUAGCGGUGAAAUGCGCAGAUAUCAGGAAGAACAACCCGUGGCGAAGGCGGCUCUCUGGGACGGUACUGACGCUGAGACGCGAAAGCG